UACGUAGGGUGCGCGCGUUAAUCGGAAUUACUGGGCGUAAAGCGUGCGCAGGCGGUGAUGUAAGACCGAUGUGAAAUCCCCGGGCUUAACCUGGGAACUGCAUUGGUGACUGCAUUGCUGGAGUAUGGCAGAGGGGGGUGGAAUUCCACGUGUAGCAGUGAAAUGCGUAGAGAUGUGGAGGAACACCGAUGGCGAAGGCAGCCCCCUGGGCCAAUACUGACGCUCAUGCACGAAAGCGUGGGGAGCAAACAGG
RNAcentral lists this ribosomal RNA (253 nucleotides) under uncultured bacterium. Its description in RNAcentral is "partial 16S ribosomal RNA". It matches the Rfam family "Bacterial small subunit ribosomal RNA", at positions 524 to 776 of the family's 1533-position model. The record is from RNAcentral.